RNAcentral lists this unclassified non-coding RNA (975 nucleotides) under Drosophila yakuba. RNAcentral describes it as "GE28524". Lineage: Eukaryota; Metazoa; Arthropoda; Insecta; Diptera; Drosophilidae. The record is from RNAcentral.
UUCCUCUCGACAAAUUUGAUUGGCUGAAAAACUGGCGCCAACAAGUAGAUUUCCAUCAAAGGGAGAGCUGCCCACGGCUGAACAGGAAGAGGAAAAAUGCUUUUCCACCCGAAUUUCACCCCAAAAUUGCUGUCAUUAAUCAUUUGGCUUGAAAAAGGUGCCAAGCUGCGUGGAUGUGACGUUAAUCUUCAGAGGAAAUAUUGGCCAGAACGAGACCGAAACCCUCUAGCACAGGUGAGCCGUCUCAUCAGAAAACGCUUAGGCAGCAGACUAAAUCCCUCCCCAUAUCCUGUGCUCCUGGGCAACGUUAUGCCAAAUGGGCAGUUCUUUCUCCACUGCCGGUAAUUCAUUUGCACUUUGAUAGCAACAAGAUGCAUGCAGUGGCGGUGGCAAAAAGGGGUGGUGAAAAUUUUGUGGAUCCCUGCACUUAUAAAUCACCGAAUGAAGCAGAAGAUUCUGCGGAGCUUUCGCUGCUGUUGUGGCCUGCGACCGCGACUAAGCAGUUUAUUGAAAAGUGGACCCAAAGUGCGGAGCCAUAAAUAUCAGCUGAAGUGGGCGUGGGCACGCCCACAACCGCAUAACUCGUUUGUGUUCUUAAAGCAGUUUUAAGGCUACAAUCUCCAGACGAAAAUCAUAAUAUCAGAUACUAUGCUUUUAGAAAAUAGUUGUGAAGAGUUCUCAGGACAUAUUUUUAUUACAGCUCCCUAACUAAAUAAAUUUAAAUCACCGCAUAAUGGAAUGCAGCUCUUUAGCCCCUGGGUGUCAAGGUCAUGGCGAAUUGCAUUAAAAUUGCUCAUCAAAUAACACUCGGCAUUCCCAUUCAACAAAUUCGCAUUUUUGAUGGCAGCAUCCUUACUCUAUAUAUGAGUUGCAUUUCAUGCAUUCGCUUCGAUGGCUGCUCAACAUGCUCAGAAGCGUCCUCGAAAAACGCCAUGAACAGCAGUGGCAGGAUGUUAAGAGUCCUUCCCCAUUCAC